AACCAAAUGGACAUGGACUGCCCAAAUCUUAAAAAUAUCUAGAGUUAAUAUUUGGAGAAAAUCAUAAUUUUUGUUUUCUGGUCGUCAGCGACUCAUGAACUCGGAGACGAAACCAAAAUCGUGUCGAGCAAUCCUUCUUCUACCUCCUCACUCUUUACUCUCGUUUCGCCUCUCUAUCGCAUCUCCCUCGGGUCCGCAUCUCGCUCAGGUUUGAACUUUGAUGGGUUCUUCAAGUUCGAUUGUUUGCUUUGGCUCGGUUUGAUCGUAGUAUUCAAAGAAGAAUAAGAGAAGGAAGGUGAUUAUGAAGAAGAAGGUGGAAGAAAGAAGAGAAUGAAGUAUGGAGUUUAAUUAUAAAUUUAAGUAUUUUUUUGUAAAACAUGAAGUUUAACUCUAAAUUUAAUUAUUUUUUGUAAAACAUGAAGUUUAAGUCUAAGUAUCUUGUGUAAAACAUGAAAUUUAAGUAGAUUUAAAAUUUUAUAUAUGAAAUUAGAAUC
Molecule: long non-coding RNA, 494 nt
Organism: Raphanus sativus (radish)
Lineage: Eukaryota; Viridiplantae; Streptophyta; Magnoliopsida; Brassicales; Brassicaceae
Exons: 2
Source: RefSeq, a predicted model, not a curated record